RNAcentral lists this ribosomal RNA (353 nucleotides) under uncultured bacterium. RNAcentral's name for it is "bacterial SSU rRNA". It matches the Rfam family "Bacterial small subunit ribosomal RNA", at positions 29 to 408 of the family's 1533-position model. The record is from RNAcentral.
AACGAACGCUGGCGGCAGGCCUAACACAUGCAAGUCGAACGGGGUAGCAAUACUCUAGUGGCAGACGGGUGAGUAACACGUGGGAACCUUCCUUUUAGUAUGGAAUAGCCCGGCGAAAGCCGGAUUAAUACCAUAUACGCCCUAUGGGGGAAAGAUUUAUCGCUAAAAGAUGGGCCCGCGUAAGAUUAGCUAGUUGGUGAGGUAAUGGCUCACCAAGGCUACGAUCUUUAGCUGGUUUGAGAGAAUGAUCAGCCACACUGGAACUGAGACACGGUCCAGACUCCUACGGGAGGCAGCAGUGGGGAAUAUUGGACAAUGGGCGCAAGCCUGAUCCAGCCAUGCCGNGUGAAUGA